Molecule: long non-coding RNA, 1894 nt
Organism: Meriones unguiculatus (Mongolian gerbil)
Lineage: Eukaryota; Metazoa; Chordata; Mammalia; Rodentia; Muridae
Exons: 5
Source: RefSeq, a predicted model, not a curated record
GACCUCGUACAUACACACGAGCGGACAAGGGUGAGAAAGGUGAUGCUGAAGAAAAUAAGGUUUUUUCUCCCCACUCAUUGUCAGCACAGUUCUGAGCAUUUAGUGGAUUGACUUACUGAACAGGAGCAAUAGCCAGUUAGAGGUCAUGGAUGAAGGGUCCUACAGAAUGUGAGGAUUCUUGGUACCUUGCCAAGCUAGCUGAGGCCAUCACUGAAGGAGGAGGAGGAGAAGGAGGAGGAAGAGGAGGAGGAGAAGGAGGAGGAAGAGAAGACACAGAAUGUUUGCUAAUAAAAGAAGAAAAACAAUUUCUGCUUCUUCAAGGGCAUCAUACUUCAUACCAUGAAUAUAUACUGUAUCUUCCUUUCUUACUGGGGAGAUGGCAGCAAGUUCAGCAGUCAUCAGAAUGGGACAGAUGCGAAGACAGAGUCCCAGAAAAAGAUGACAGUUCCAUCCUUUCUGGAAGCCUGUCAGGUCAUGGUGCUGAGAGAGGAUGAGCCAGCAACUUGCCAUCUUGCCGUCUUGGGAGUGCUCCAGGAUGACAGCGAAGGAAGGCAGCACAGCCCAGUCCUCUUGUUUACAUGCUUGCUGAGCAAGCUGAUAGUGUGAUGUGAAAAAUGGCUGACAGGCUCACCGCUCCUCCAUCUACUGUGAGCUCAGAAGCCAGGGAACCAAGCAAGGAGAAAUUCAACAGUCAUCAUGCCUGACACCAGCAAAUGGGUCUUCUUGUCCCACCACUCCUGCAAACUCCUUUCCUCUUGCAGUCUCUUUCCUUGCUUAAUCUGGAGACUUCUUCCCUGGUUGGUCACCAAAGGAGCAAAGGCUUUUUGUCUCAAUUAUCUCUGAGAACAAAGGUAUCAGCUGGGUGGCCAGGGAGCUUGGGCGGGGGGAGCUUCUGGGAGGUUCUGAGUGACGGCCUGGCUGAAGCUGGUUUCUAACCUCGAACCUCGUCUCUGAAUAUUUGGGGCCAGAUCAAUCAAGAGAAGGUCUUAAGGUAGCCAGUCCUGGAGUCCUUUGUCUCCACCUGCUUGAUAUAGUAAGUGAGGCCUCUGGAACCAGUCUUUAGGGUCCAGUCACCCUCUAGAGGAGUCAGGCUUUUAGAUUUCAGGGGUAAUAAGGGGAAACAAUUAGCAAAGCUGCCUCCAGACCCCCAUACCUCCAGAUGGGCAGUGAGUAAAUAAAAGAACUAGUUGUAAAGCUAAACACGGGGAAUUUGCCCACCAAGGUAGGAUCCCUGGGAGGCUAAGCCACAUAAUCUGAAGAACAGCAUUUCCCUUUGGAAAAUUCUGGUGAGCUGGUAAAGGUCAAUGCAGGUGAGAGGCGUACCCAAAGCUGUUAACCCAGUGGCCCAGUUUGCCUUGUAAGCCAACAAUACCUACUUUCUGGCUUUAACGUACCAUUGACUCAAACAUGGGCUACUACUUACUGCUCGUAUUUAUCAGUUGCUUAUCACGGGACUGGAAUAGUUCUGAGCGUCUCUUGAGUUUUAUCUUCACAGAAGCCUUCCAGAAGGUGCUAGAAUCCUCAUCUGACCAGAAAACUUAAGCUUUAGAGAGACUGAAUCUUCCAAGCAUGAGUUGAUUCUAGCAUUAAGGAGAAAGGGAAAGCUCCUUGGCACGUCGGAGUUCCUUGCUGCACCACACACCCUGCUGCCUUCCCGGAACCUCGGUCUGUCUUCCUGAUGGGAAAUUUCCACAGCUGGUCUUGAUGAGUCACAGCGAGACAUAGAAACCCUUGGGCAAUGGCAUCCGAGGAGAAAAUGAAGCCUCGGUCCAGAUGUGCGUCUUUGCAGGCUGCUUUCACACCUGCAGGGCACUCCAUUCUUGAAUGUGCUUCUCAUUCCCCAGACAAGCCCAGGGGAUCCACAUCCUCAAAUAAAAGACCUUUCUGUACUAAA